GAGGCGGCGGCGGCAGCAGCAGCAGCAGCACCACCAGCGGCAGCCGCGCCAAGGCGAGGCGGCGCGAUCGCCCAGCCAGAAACAUGGAGUCCGCGCCGGCAGCCGCCGAGCCCGCAGCCGCCGCCGCCGCCGCCGAGCCGGGCUCCGAAGCCGCCGCGGCCACGGCCGGCGCUGCAGCCCGGGAUCCCGCGGCCGGCGCGGAGCUGGCCCGGAAAGGAGAGGCGCCGCCGCCGCCGCCGCCUCCCAACCGCAGGCAGAGCUACUCGGGCAGCAGCAGCGGCGGCGGAGGAGGAGGUA
Molecule: non-coding RNA, 297 nt
Organism: Podarcis lilfordi (Lilford's wall lizard)
Lineage: Eukaryota; Metazoa; Chordata; Lepidosauria; Squamata; Lacertidae
Source: the annotation of a GenBank genome assembly